RNAcentral lists this ribosomal RNA (229 nucleotides) under uncultured bacterium. RNAcentral's name for it is "partial 16S ribosomal RNA". It matches the Rfam family "Bacterial small subunit ribosomal RNA", at positions 568 to 796 of the family's 1533-position model. The record is from RNAcentral.
CACGUAGGCGGCGCUCUAAGUCAGGUGUGAAAUCCCCCGGCUCAACCGGGGAACUGCACCUGAUACUGGGACGCUCGAGGACGGUAGGAGUGAGUGGAACUCCAGGUGGAGCGGUGAAAUGCGUAGAUAUCUGGAGGAACACCGGUGGCGAAAGCGGCUCACUGGACCGUCUCUGACGCUGAGGUGCGAAAGCUAGGGUAGCAAACAGGAUUAGAUACCCUGGUAGUCC